UAGAGUUUGAUCCUGGCUCAGAAUCAACGCUGGCGGCGUGCCUAACACAUGCAAGUCGCACGAGAAAGUGGAGCAAUCCAUGAGUAAAGUGGCGCACGGGUGAGUAACACGUGAAUCAUCUACCUCCGAGUGGGGAAUAACCUAGAGAAAUCUGGGCUAAUACCGCAUAACACUUACGAGUCAAAGCAGCAAUGCGCUUGGAGAGGAGUUCGCGGCCGAUUAGUUAGUUGGCGGGGUAAUGGCCCACCAAGACGAUGAUCGGUAUCCGGCCUGAGAGGGCGCACGGACACACUGGAACUGAAACACGGUCCAGACUCCUACGGGAGGCAGCAGUGGGGAAUUUUGCGCAAUGGGGGAAACCCUGACGCAGCAACGCCGCGUGGAGGAUGAAAUCCCUUGGGAUGUAAACUCCUUUCGAUCGGGACGAUUAUGACGGUACCGGAAGAAGAAGCCCCGGCUAACUUCGUGCCAGCAGCCGCGGUAAUACGAGGGGGGCAAGCGUUGUUCGGAAUUAUUGGGCGUAAAGGGCGCGUAGGCGGUCUGACAAGUCUGAUGUGAAAUCUCUGGGCUCAACCCAGAGUCUGCAUUAGAAACUGUCGGGCUUGAGUAUGGGAGAGGUGAGUGGAAUUUCCGGUGUAGCGGUGAAAUGCGUAGAUAUCGGAAGGAACACCUGUGGCGAAAGCGGCUCACUGGACCA
Molecule: ribosomal RNA, 697 nt
Filed under: bacterium enrichment culture clone SC-1_39
Lineage: Bacteria
Description: bacterial SSU rRNA
Rfam family: Bacterial small subunit ribosomal RNA
Source: RNAcentral